UCGGGAAUUUUGGGCAAUGGGGGAAACCCUGACCCAGCAACGCCGCGUGAAGGAUGAAGUAUUUCGGUAUGUAAACUUCGAAAGAAUAGGAAGAAUAAAUGACGGUACUAUUUAUAAGGUCCGGCUAACUACGUGCCAGCAGCCGCGGUAAUACGUAGGGACCAAGCGUUGUUCGGAUUUACUGGGCGUAAAGGGCGCGUAGGCGGCAUGACAAGUCACUUGUGAAAUCUCUGGGCUUAACCCAGAACGGCCAAGUGAUACUGUCGCGCUAGAGUGCAGAAGGGGCAAUCGGAAUUCUUGGUGUAGCGGUGAAAUGCGUAGAUAUCAAGAGGAACACCUGAGGUGAAGACGGGUUGCUGGGCUGACACUGACGCUGAGGCGCGAAAGCUAGGGGAGCAAACGGGAUUAGAUACCCACGUAGUCCCUGAGCGGGCUGGCAAGGCGCAU
Molecule: ribosomal RNA, 447 nt
Filed under: uncultured bacterium
Lineage: Bacteria
Description: bacterial SSU rRNA
Rfam family: Bacterial small subunit ribosomal RNA
Source: RNAcentral